AUUAGAGUUUGAUCAUGGCUCAGAUUGAACGCUGGCGGCAUGCCUAACACAUGCAAGUCGAACGGCAGCGCGGGGGCAACCCUGGCGGCGAGUGGCGGACGGGUGAGGAAUGCAUAGGAAUCUGCCCGGUUGUGGGGGAUAACGUAGGGAAACUUACGCUAAUACCGCAUACGACCUUCGGGUGAAAGUGGGGGACCUUCGGGCCUCACGCGAUCGGAUGAGCCUAUGCCCGAUUAGGUAGUUGGUGGGGUAAAGGCUUACCAAGCCUGCGAUCUGUAGCUGGUCUGAGAGGACGACCAGCCACACUGGGACUGAGACACGGCCCAGACUCCUACGGGAGGCAGCAGUGGGGAAUUUUGGACAAUGGGCGCAAGCCUGAUCCAGCAAUGCCGCGUGCAGGAUGAAGGCCUUCGGGUUGUAAACUGCUUUUGUACGGAACGAAAAGCACCUCUCUAAUACAGAGGUGCGAUGACGGUACCGUAAGAAUAAGCACCGGCUAACUACGUGCCAGCAGCCGCGGUAAUAGAGUUUGAUCCUGCCUCAGUGCCAGCAGCCGCGGUAAUAAU
Molecule: ribosomal RNA, 566 nt
Filed under: uncultured bacterium
Lineage: Bacteria
Description: bacterial SSU rRNA
Rfam family: Bacterial small subunit ribosomal RNA
Source: RNAcentral